CAGCUGGAUAGGAGUGAGGAGUUGGAGGAAGGGUUGGGGUAUGGCCAGUGCAGUUAAGUGACUUGCCUUGGUGCACACCCCCAGAAAGUGACAGCACCAGCAUUUGAACCCUGACACAAGCAUCUCCAAAACUGCAUUCUUCCCACUGUGCCACAGUUAAGAUGAGUCCACCAGCCCUGUUUAGGUGAGUUCUGGCCCUCCCUGUGUGUCCCCA
Molecule: long non-coding RNA, 214 nt
Filed under: Pan troglodytes (chimpanzee)
Lineage: Eukaryota; Metazoa; Chordata; Mammalia; Primates; Hominidae
Description: long non-coding RNA NONPTRT007043
Source: RNAcentral